GUGGUUAACGUUAACCAAAAGCG
RNAcentral lists this small nuclear RNA (23 nucleotides) under Arabidopsis thaliana (thale cress). RNAcentral's name for it is "snRNA_08211". Lineage: Eukaryota; Viridiplantae; Streptophyta; Magnoliopsida; Brassicales; Brassicaceae. The record is from RNAcentral.